This 246-nucleotide ribosomal RNA is filed under the name uncultured Finegoldia sp. RNAcentral describes it as "partial 16S ribosomal RNA". It matches the Rfam family "Bacterial small subunit ribosomal RNA", at positions 109 to 355 of the family's 1533-position model. The record is from RNAcentral. Lineage: Bacteria; Bacillati; Bacillota; Tissierellia; Tissierellales; Peptoniphilaceae.
AGUAACGCGUGAGCAACCUGCCUAUGACAGUGGGAUAGCCUCGGAAACCGGGAUUAAUACCGCAUAAAAUCGUAGAAACACAUGUUUCAACGGUCAAAGAUUUAUCGGUCAUAGAUGGGCUCGCGUCUGAUUAGCUAGUUGGUGAGAUAACAGCCCACCAAGGCGACGAUCAGUAGCCGGUCUGAGAGGAUGAACGGCCACAUUGGAACUGAGACACGGUCCAAACUCCUACGGGAGGCAGCAGCU